AUUAAUUUGAGAGUUUGAUCCUGGCUCAGGACGAACGCUGGCGGCGUGCCUAAUACAUGCAAGUCGAACGAACUCUGGUAUUGAUUGGUGCUUGCAUCAUGAUUUACAUUUGAGUGAGUGGCGAACUGGUGAGUAACACGUGGGAAACCUGCCCAGAAGCGGGGGAUAACACCUGGAAACAGAUGCUAAUACCGCAUAACAACUUGGACCGCAUGGUCCGAGUUUGAAAGAUGGCUUCGGCUAUCACUUUUGGAUGGUCCCGCGGCGUAUUAGCUAGAUGGUGAGGUAACGGCUCAC
Molecule: ribosomal RNA, 297 nt
Filed under: Lactiplantibacillus plantarum
Lineage: Bacteria; Bacillati; Bacillota; Bacilli; Lactobacillales; Lactobacillaceae
Description: Lactobacillus plantarum partial 16S ribosomal RNA
Rfam family: Bacterial small subunit ribosomal RNA
Source: RNAcentral